GGAUGCGAUCAUACCAGCGCUAAAGCACCGGAUCCCAUCAGAACUACGAGAGUAGUACUAGGAUGGGUGACCUCCUGGGAAGUCCUCGUGUUGCAUUCC
RNAcentral lists this ribosomal RNA (99 nucleotides) under Hordeum muticum. The record is from RNAcentral. Lineage: Eukaryota; Viridiplantae; Streptophyta; Magnoliopsida; Poales; Poaceae.